CUCUGAAACCAGACCGAGUGCCGCGUGGAUCUCUCCUCAAAAGCUUGAGUGUCCGAGGAAAGAGAACGUCAGCAUUUGUGAAUCAGAUUCCACGGAAUACAAAACGUCCAAGAAUUCCAAGCUCGGAGAAGAAAGAACAAUAUCAAGUGCAAUCAUGAGACGAAGCUCCAGCAAGCAAGGCUUGCAGAACCUCCUGAGAGUGACGGCUCAGCGAAGUAUCGAAGAUGCUGAGGAGAUCGAGAGAGAAAGGCGACUUCGGGCCCGGGAGGCCUUCCGCAAUAAACAAAGCCUGUCUGGAUCUGCCGGUUUCCCUCAGGACAGUGUGAACCCACCUGAAACCGGCCUCUAUGAAAGUGAAUUCAAACCUAGCAGUUCGACUGCUGUGGAUGAGGAUGAAGGUUUCAGUGACUGGACCCAAAAGCUGGGACAGAGAACAAGGUCCAGAAUGGCCGAGAACAGCAGUGGAGAACAGUUACAACAGGAGGAGAAAGACGUGAAUGAGAGAUCUAGACAAAGUGACAAAAGCAGCUUCACCACUUCUAUACAGUAUCAGCAAAUACAGGACAGAGAGGAUGAGGAGAAAAGACCAGAUAGGUGGAGGAGCCCUGAGAGACGAAUGGAGAUCAGUGAGAGGGUGAGCAGCCCGAGAUCAGAGGAAUGGCAUGACGACAGCAAAAGAAGACAACAGGAAAUAACACCACAGAUGGAGAACAAGAUGAAAGAGGAGAGGAAGGAGAUGAAGGUGUCAUAUACAUCGAAAGUAUUCCUACAGCAAGACAGAAUGCCUAAUGGCAAUGGAGAGGCAGCUGCAGAGGAAAUUACAUCACAUCUGGUCAAAACCAAAAGAUCACCCAGCAGGACUGUAGAUGUAGAUCAGGUCUUUGAGACUAAGAAGGACAUGGACGCUGGUCUGGAGACCGAGCUGAAGCUGGAGAAGAUCAGACGUAGCCACCAGGAGAAGGAGAGCCAAGGAAUGGAGCAGCUACGGCAGCGUCAGGCCGAGGCUGAGCUGGAGCUGGAGGAACUGAAGAAGAAGAGAGAGGAACGACGCAAGGCUCGUGAAGAGGAGGAGCAGAAGAGAGAGGAAGAGGAACAGCAGAAACUAGCCAAAAAAGAGGUGACUGAGCUGAUUUCUAUUCGUCUAAAUCCAAAGUUCUGGCAUGAAACUCUAGAUGG
Molecule: long non-coding RNA, 1176 nt
Filed under: Sinocyclocheilus grahami
Lineage: Eukaryota; Metazoa; Chordata; Actinopteri; Cypriniformes; Cyprinidae
Description: lncRNA (ENSSGRG00000039469.1)
Source: RNAcentral